This 884-nucleotide ribosomal RNA is filed under the name uncultured bacterium. RNAcentral's name for it is "bacterial SSU rRNA". It matches the Rfam family "Bacterial small subunit ribosomal RNA", at positions 21 to 881 of the family's 1533-position model. The record is from RNAcentral.
GGCUCAGAACGAACGCUGGCGGCGUGCCUAACACAUGCAAGUCGAACGUGAUUAGAGAGCUUGCUCUCUAUGAAAGUGGCGCACGGGUGAGUAACGCGUAGAUAAUCUGCCUGGUGAUCGGGGAUAACACUUCGAAAGGGGUGCUAAUACCGGAUAAGCUCACGGAGUCCUUGGACUCUGCGAGAAAAGGGGGGGACCUUCGGGCCUUCUGUCAUCAGAUGAGUCUGCGUACCAUUAGCUAGUUGGUAGGGUAAAGGCCUACCAAGGCGACGAUGGUUAGCUGGUCUGAGAGGAUGAUCAGCCACACUGGAACUGAGACACGGUCCAGACUCCUACGGGAGGCAGCAGUGGGGAAUUUUGCGCAAUGGGGGAAACCCUGACGCAGCAACGCCGCGUGAGUGAUGAAGGCUCUUGGGUCGUAAAGCUCUGACAGAGGGAAAGAAAUGUAUUGCGGCUAAUACCUGCGAUACUUGACGGUACCCUCAAAGGAAGCACCGGCUAACUCCGUGCCAGCAGCCGCGGUAAUACGGGGGGUGCAAGCGUUGUUCGGAUUUAUUGGGCGUAAAGCGCGUGUAGGCGGUUUGGUAAGUCUGAUGUGAAAGCCCUGGGCUCAACCCGGGAAGUGCAUUGGAUACUGUCAGACUUGAAUACGGGAGAGGGCAGUGGAAUUCCUAGUGUAGGAGUGAAAUCCGUAGAUAUUAGGAGGAACACCGGUGGCGAAGGCGGCUGCCUGGACCGAUAUUGACGCUGAGACGCGAAAGCGUGGGUAGCAAACAGGAUUAGAUACCCUGGUAGUCCACGCCGUAAACGAUGAGAACUAGGUGUUGCGGGUAUUGACCCCUGCAGUGCCGUAGCUAACGCAUUAAGUUCUCCGCCUGGGAAGU